Drosophila busckii is the source of this 465-nucleotide long non-coding RNA. RefSeq lists it as uncharacterized. The record is from RefSeq and is a predicted model, not a curated record. The transcript has 3 exons. Lineage: Eukaryota; Metazoa; Arthropoda; Insecta; Diptera; Drosophilidae.
AAGCAGCCCUUGUAUUUUUGACUUCCUAUUUUGGACUACCUCUCGACAUAACCAAAUAAAAUAUCAGUAUCAGUUCGCAACUAAACCGGAAGUAACCAUAUUGGCAUUUGUUUGGCAAUCAAACAAUACUUGAGACGAUACACCAUCUGUGUGCCUAUUUCCGUGAAGUUAACUGAAGAUUUAGAUUUAUCAUCGACAUGCCGUGCUGUCAGAUCUCAAACUUUUAUCAGUUCCGUCCACCCAAGUGCUAUCCACAGUUCUGUCCACCGUGUUGCUCACCGUGCUGCUCUCCGUGCUCUCAGUGUGGUCCUUGUGGAUCCUGCUGCGGUGGAUGUGGCUACUGUUAACUUCAGAAAGAAAUCGAGGUACCCUUUUAAGACUCACUCAAGUAUAAUGCCCUUUUCGGAAUUGUGCUAUAAAAUUUUAAACAAUUAUAUGACAAACCAAAAAUAAAAGUAACUUUAU